AUGGACAAUCCUAUAACCCUGCAGCCACUUUUGCACAAGCCAAUUAUUUAAGGAACAAUAAUAUUCUGAUCAUAGCAGUUGGAAUCGGCAGCGGCAUUUCUAAAUAUGAACUUGACAGAAUGGCGUCCGGUCCGUCAUACGUUCUACAUGUUGAAGAUUUCAAUGCAUUAAGUCAUAUUUACGAUUCAAUCCACUCGAUUGCUUGUAUAUUGGGUAAGACUUUCUUAACUUAUAUAAACUUAAAUCAGUAGCUCAAAGAUAUCACAAGCCCAGUAGUCAGCACUUUUUGUGCUGACAUGAAUUGUCAUUCAUAUGGUUAUAUUUAUAAAUUUACUGUUUUCAAAUGUUUGAAUUUUUUGAAAUACUAAGGCUUUUCUAUAUCUCAGGCAUAUAUUACCUUAGCUGUAUUUGGCAUAACUUUUAGUAAUUUUGGUUCUCAAUGCUCUUCAACUUCGUACUUUAUUUGGCCUUUUUUUUUUUUCUUUUUUUUUUUUUUUUUUUUUAACUUAUUUGGAUUCGAGCGUCACUAAGUCUCAAAGAGUCUUUUGUAGACGAAACGCGCGUCUGGCGUAUAUACUAAAUUUAGUUCUGGUAUCUAUGAUGAGUUUAUAUAGAGUCAAAUAUAUUGCAUAACAAAUUACACUCGUCAGUGUCGGUCCAUUGAAGUUAUGGAAUAAGAAAAAUCCUUACUUUACAUUUAUUUUAAAAGUUUAGCACAGUCGAGACGAGAUUAAAAAUGUAAGACACUAAUUAUUUUCUUGAAAUACUUGUUUUCUUUCUCAUUAACGAUUUCUCUCCAUUUGUUUUCAAGUAACCACCAUACAUCCUACGUUAAAAGUAACAACAAACUACAGCUGCCCCAACUACAACUACAACAGAUGCCCCAACAACUACAACGACAAAAAG
This 906-nucleotide long non-coding RNA is filed under the name Mytilus galloprovincialis (Mediterranean mussel). The record is from RNAcentral. Lineage: Eukaryota; Metazoa; Mollusca; Bivalvia; Mytilida; Mytilidae.